AGAGUUGAUCAUGGCUCAGAACGAACGCUGGCGGCGCGUUUAAGCAUGCAAGUCGAGCGGCAAGGGCCUUCGGGCCCCUAGAGCGGCGGACGGGUGAGUAACACGUGGACAAUCUGCCCCCCGGCCCGGGAUAGCCCAGGGAAACCUGGAUUAAUACCGGAUGAGACGGGACCCGCGAUGGCGGGAUCCGGGAAAGGCGCUGCGGCGCCGCCGGGGGAUGAGUCUGCGUCCCAUUAGCUAGACGGCGGGUAACGGCCCACCGUGGCGACGAUGGGUAGCCGGCCUGAGAGGGUGGACGGCCACAUUGGAACUGAGACACGGUCCAGACUCCUACGGGAGGCAGCAGCUAAGAAUCUUCCGCAAUGGGCGAAAGCCUGGCGGAGCGACGCCGCGUGAACGAAGAAGGCCGUGAGGUUGUAAAGUUCUUUUCGGGAGGGGGAACAACCGUGGCAGGGAAUGGCCGCGGGAUGACGUGAAUCCUGGAAUAAGCCCCGGCUAACUACGUGCCAGCAGCAGC
This 517-nucleotide ribosomal RNA is filed under the name uncultured bacterium. RNAcentral's name for it is "bacterial SSU rRNA". It matches the Rfam family "Bacterial small subunit ribosomal RNA", at positions 8 to 518 of the family's 1533-position model. The record is from RNAcentral.